CCUACGGGAGGCUGCAGUGGGGAAUAUUGGACAAUGGGGGGAACCCUGAUCCAGCCAUGCCGCGUGUGUGAAGAAGGCCCUCGGGUUGUAAAGCACUUUCAGUGAGGAAGAACGCCUGGUGGUUAAUACCCAUCAGGAAAGACAUCACUCACAGAAGAAGCACCGGCUAACUCCGUGCCAGCAGCCGCGGUAAUACGGAGGGUGCGAGCGUUAAUCGGAAUUACUGGGCGUAAAGCGCGCGUAGGUGGCUUGAUAAGCCGGUUGUGAAAGCCCCGGGCUCAACCUGGGAACGGCAUCCGGAACUGUCAAGCUAGAGUGCAGGAGAGGAAGGUAGAAUUCCCGGUGUAGCGGUGAAAUGCGUAGAGAUCGGGAGGAAUACCAGUGGCGAAGGCGGCCUUCUGGACUGAAACUGACACUGAGGUGCGAAAGCGUGGGUAGCAAACAGGAUUAGAUACCCCUGUAGUC
RNAcentral lists this ribosomal RNA (465 nucleotides) under Vreelandella stevensii. RNAcentral's name for it is "partial 16S ribosomal RNA". It matches the Rfam family "Bacterial small subunit ribosomal RNA", at positions 338 to 795 of the family's 1533-position model. Lineage: Bacteria; Pseudomonadati; Pseudomonadota; Gammaproteobacteria; Oceanospirillales; Halomonadaceae. The record is from RNAcentral.